Balaenoptera ricei (Rice's whale) is the source of this 845-nucleotide long non-coding RNA. RefSeq lists it as uncharacterized. The record is from RefSeq and is a predicted model, not a curated record. The transcript is spliced from 3 exons. NCBI's taxonomy places the organism in Eukaryota, Metazoa, Chordata, Mammalia, Artiodactyla, Balaenopteridae.
CCAGCAACGCGCGGCCGGUCCACGCUUCGUGCGCGCCUGGAGGACUGGGUGACCCUUGGCUUCCCGGGGCGCCGGCGCCCCUUCCCCCGGGAUCCCCACGGACCGAGCGACCCAGCCUGCGCCUGCUCUCUGCGCUCCGCGUUGACCGAGAUUAGUUUUUUGACUGAAAUGGAAGUUGUUUAAUACAACUCUUUUUUAAAAUUUAAUUUAAAAAAUGUAGUCCAACGAGUAAUUGCUGAAGACCUCCUAAAUUAAGCGUCACCAUGAAAGUUCAAGUAUUCAUGAAGACUAGAAAGAUGCUGCCCUAAAGGAUAUAAAUAUCUACUAAGGAAGUGAAGGACUGUUAAAUGCAAAUUGACAUCCAGGAGAUUGGCCUGCUACCUGCCAGCUUUCAGUUUGCUGUGACUAUUCUUGCCUGGUGCGUCCCAGAAAGGCUGCUUUGGAAAACCACUGAUUCUCAAAUAAUGGCUGUCAUUUCUACAUCUGCGCCUAGUCUGACCUUUUCUCCCUUUUUCACAGGCCGCAAUCCCUGCUUCCUUCCUAUAAUUCUGCUUACCCCAUGAGGGCAACUAUGAAUGUGGCCUUGCUGUCUUCCUUCUAUCUGGUCCCAUCUGUACUGUAUCUAAUGGAAAUUAAUCCACAUUCCUAGAAGGUGUAUGUUAUUAUUUCCAAGUUUGCACUUCAGAUGCAGGUGUCUCUAUUCCAGGAUUGGUUCAUGAUGAACUUAUAUUCAUGUUCAUACCUUACCCAAAGUUAAUCCAGGAAAGGUAUUCAGACAAUCAAUGUUUAUAAAUAUUGGUUUUGUCAACUUAUUUAUGUCUUUUCCUCCCCAGGGAAACAAUUAA